Chelonia mydas (Green sea turtle) is the source of this 555-nucleotide long non-coding RNA. RefSeq lists it as uncharacterized. The transcript has 4 exons. The record is from RefSeq and is a predicted model, not a curated record. Lineage: Eukaryota; Metazoa; Chordata; Testudines; Cheloniidae.
GGACUGAGGAGUACAAACGUGAUCAGGCUUCAGGAAGAAGCGCCUGAAACCUCACAGGCCAGUCUUGGUGAAGCAGAAUGCACAUAACAGAAUCAGAAGAUACCUGUACAGCUCUACAUCAGCUUGUAAAUUGGCAUUAAGAAGUUCUUGGGCCACACCAGGAUUGGUAUAGAUGGGUUAAUUACAGAAGACCACAAAAAGAAAUCUUGGCAGUCUAUCUAGAAGUGAAGGAGGUGUGUGGGGGCUGGAGCUUCCACUUGGAGAAGAAGAGAGCUGUAAAGCUGAAGCAUUCGACGUACAUGUACACUUUUUUCCUCCAUUAAACUUGCUGAAUUCUACGUUAGGCGGUGAGAAUUUCAUUUACAGUGUGUAGAAUCAUGGCCCUUGGUAUGAACUGGAUCAGAAAGAAUAUACUGACUUCCUGUGUACACAAUCUGCACAGCCUGCAAGUAGACCCUACAAGAUCGUUCACUGGAGUGUGCGGACAUGUUGCCACUUAAAGCCUCAACUAUUGAACAAAGUGGAGAGCAAGAAAAGCUAGUCUCUGUAAGUCCC